UACAGAGGGGGCAAGCGUUAUUCGGAAUUAUUGGGCGUAAAGGGCGCGUAGGCGGCCUGACAAGUGGAAGGUGAAAUCCCUCGGCUCAACUGAGGAACUGCCCUCCAAACUGUUUGGCUUGAGACCGGGAGAGGUGAGUGGAAUUCCCAGUGUAGCGGUGAAAUGCGUAGAUAUUGGGAGGAACACCAGUGGCGAAGGCGGCUCACUGGACCGGUACUGACGCUGAGGCGCGAAAGCGUGGGGAGCAAACGGG
RNAcentral lists this ribosomal RNA (253 nucleotides) under uncultured bacterium. RNAcentral's name for it is "partial 16S ribosomal RNA". It matches the Rfam family "Bacterial small subunit ribosomal RNA", at positions 524 to 776 of the family's 1533-position model. The record is from RNAcentral.